UGGCAAGCGUUGUCCGGAUUUAUUGGGCGUAAAGCGAGCGCAGGCGGUUGCUUAGGGCUGAUGUGAAAGCCCCCGGCCUAACCGAGGAAUUGCAUCGGAAACUGUGUUUCUUGAGUGCAGAAGAGGAGAGUGGAACUCCAUGUGUAGCGGUGGAAUGCGUAGAUAUAUGGAAGAACACCAGUGGCGAAGGCGGCUCUCUGGUCUGCAACUGACGCUGAGGCUCGAAAGCAUGGGUAGCGAACA
This 243-nucleotide ribosomal RNA is filed under the name uncultured bacterium. RNAcentral's name for it is "partial 16S ribosomal RNA". It matches the Rfam family "Bacterial small subunit ribosomal RNA", at positions 532 to 774 of the family's 1533-position model. The record is from RNAcentral.